RNAcentral lists this long non-coding RNA (221 nucleotides) under Capsella rubella. RNAcentral describes it as "long non-coding RNA (CRUB_LNC001025)". The record is from RNAcentral. Lineage: Eukaryota; Viridiplantae; Streptophyta; Magnoliopsida; Brassicales; Brassicaceae.
GAGCUUCCCGAACUUGCAAUUCCUCAUCUUGGUAAUGAUAUUAAAAACCCCCAAUAUGUUUUUGUUUGAUCUUUAUGAACAUGCCAUGUUUCAUUGUGUUUAUAUCCUCUGUUCUUUUUUUUUUUUUUUUUGUAUAUAUCCUCUGUUCUUUCCUCAGGUAUGCUAUUGUAGUUAUGAGGAAAUGUCAUUGGAAGAGAUUAAUCAAAUCAGUUUGUCAUCUA